GGUGAUCGCUCCUAGGUACGCUACUGAUCGCAGCCCAUCAAUGCCCCCCCAUUGUCGGUGCGGUGGGCCGUUGGGAGAAGUUUUUCUCGAUCGCAGAACAAUAGCCCAGCGAUCCUCUCCACGAAGACGAAACUCACCACAACCGGCUGGCUGGCUGGUAGUAGACGAUUGGCAAGACAGUCCAGUCUAAGUCACCGUCCGUUGUUGUUGUAACCACGCUUGUAUCGUGUUGUUCAUUUGUUCAAGUAGCUUAAGUUUUAAAGUAAGAAUAAAUUGUUAAGUCGAAAUUGUGUUUAAUUCCCUAAGUGCGUGUGUUCCUGUUUAACGGAUGACCGGCCCAACCUGCUUAUAAUUGCAUGCAGCAGUGACAAACAAAUUUGGGAUCCCACCAUCAACCCCCCUUCGAUGUUGGACGGAGGAACGUCGGCACCAGCUAUCAUCCAUUAAGCCAGACGGUAAGGUGCAGAGUGAAAAAGGUCGUUGACCCCCUACCCCCCAACAUUUUGGCCACUUCGACCGGAUUUUUCGGACCAUUUUGGAAGCCACCUGGAACGGUACAAGGAACCAUUUUCUUCGCGGGAUCGCCAUUACAACCAAGCCGCCAAGCCCAAGCUUAAUUCGCCAUUGAAAUUAAGCCAACAAUACACUCCUGCAUGCGCGCCAUUGUUUCUUGGCUUGGCUUGGUUCGACUUGGUGCAUCGGCCCAACAAUUGUGGGUUUUUUGGAUUCAUCUGCACGCAACUUCCUGGAGGCUGGCAAGUUAAAACAACACACAUCAACGCAGCGACCGGUGAUUACGAGCCACAACUCAGGUGCCAACGAAUUGGUCGUUGGUUUGGACCUCGGUGCCUUAGACUCGGAAACAAUCUCCCUGGACUAUCCGUUGGUAAGCUGCAACGAUUGGCGGCGAUUGGAACAUCGCUGUGGGCCUUUAGGUUUCCAGAUCACGGACGGUGAUUGGAACAUCAUCGUCACCAUCAUCAUCGACUGCAGCUCAGACGAGGCGAAAGGUUUCGCUACCCGAUUGCUGUUUUGACGAUCAAUUGGUUCGAUGUCAGUGGUGCUCAACCUGCGUUAUCAAGCGAUUUGAAAUUUAAAGUAAGUUAAAUGAAAUCGGGAAAAAUAUUUAUUUUCACUUGGAAAAAAUAUAAUUCUAACGCUAAUUAAUCCUCUUCAACCCAAACACUAUUACCUGAGCCCUGGCGUCAUAGGACAAGAGGUCCAUGACUCGAAGUUUUUCUGUCUGACGGAUUGUUUGGGUUGCUUCAUGGUGCGUUUGCCCAGGGAUUCUGUUAAGAGGAUUUUCUUUUUAUUUCAGAAAUCGAGCUAUUUCUGGGUGGGUGAGGAUGUACGAAGGUGAUCGCUCCUAGGUACGCUACUGAUCGCAGCCCAUCAAUGCCCCCCCAUUGUCGGUGCGGUGGGCCGUUGGGAGAAGUUUUUCUCGAUCGCAGAACAAUAGCCCAGCGAUCCUCUCCACGAAGACGAAACUCACCACAACCGGCUGGCUGGCUGGUAGUAGACGAUUGGCAAGACAGUCCAGUCUAAGUCACCGUCCGUUGUUGUUGUAACCACGCUUGUAUCGUGUUGUUCAUUUGUUCAAGUAGCUUAAGUUUUAAAGUAAGAAUAAAUUGUUAAGUCGAAAUUGUGUUUAAUUCCCUAA
Uranotaenia lowii is the source of this 1660-nucleotide long non-coding RNA. RefSeq lists it as uncharacterized. The transcript has 2 exons. The record is from RefSeq and is a predicted model, not a curated record. Lineage: Eukaryota; Metazoa; Arthropoda; Insecta; Diptera; Culicidae.